GGUUCUAUGGUGUAAUGGUGAGCACUUCAGACAUUGGAUCAGUGAUCUGAGUUCAAGGCUUGGUAGAUCCG
This is a non-coding RNA of Dallia pectoralis (Alaska blackfish), 71 nucleotides long. Lineage: Eukaryota; Metazoa; Chordata; Actinopteri; Esociformes; Umbridae. The record is from the annotation of a GenBank genome assembly.